GUGCUCGAGUGGCGAACGGGUGAGUAACACGUGAGUAACCUGCCCUUGACUUUGGGAUAACUUCAGGAAACUGGGGCUAAUACCGGAUAGGAGCGUCCUGCUGCAUGGUGGGGGUUGGAAAGUUUCGGCGGUUGGGGAUGGACUCGCGGCUUAUCAGCUUGUUGGUGGGGUAGUGGCUUACCAAGGCUUUGACGGGUAGCCGGCCUGAGGGGGUGACCGGCCACAUUGGGACUGAGAUACGGCCCAG
RNAcentral lists this ribosomal RNA (247 nucleotides) under uncultured Actinomycetales bacterium. RNAcentral's name for it is "partial 16S ribosomal RNA". It matches the Rfam family "Bacterial small subunit ribosomal RNA", at positions 87 to 334 of the family's 1533-position model. Lineage: Bacteria; Bacillati; Actinomycetota; Actinomycetes; Actinomycetales. The record is from RNAcentral.